Molecule: ribosomal RNA, 396 nt
Filed under: uncultured archaeon
Lineage: Archaea
Description: bacterial SSU rRNA
Rfam family: Archaeal small subunit ribosomal RNA
Source: RNAcentral
AAACUUUACAAUGCGGGAAACCGUGAUAAGGGAACCCCGAGUGCCCGUAUACCGAGCUGUCCAGGUGUUUAAAACGCAUCUGAAGAAAGGGCCGGGCAAGACCGGUGCCAGCCGCCGCGGUAAUACCGGCGGCUCGAGUGGUGGCCACUUUUAUUGGGCUUAAAGCGUCCGUAGCUUGGUUGUUAAGUCUCUUGGGAAAUCUCACGGCUUAACCGUGAGGCGUCUAAGGGAUACUGGCAACCUAAGGGACCGGAAAAGGUGAGAGGUACUCCAGGGGUAGGGGUGAAAUCCUGUAAUCCUUGGGGGACCACCUGUGGCGAAGGCGUCUCACCAGGACGGCUCCGACAGUGAGGACCAAAGCUGGGGGAGCAAACCUGGAUUUAUAUACCCGGGUAU